RNAcentral lists this ribosomal RNA (757 nucleotides) under uncultured Alphaproteobacteria bacterium. RNAcentral describes it as "bacterial SSU rRNA". It matches the Rfam family "Bacterial small subunit ribosomal RNA", at positions 53 to 859 of the family's 1533-position model. Lineage: Bacteria; Pseudomonadati; Pseudomonadota; Alphaproteobacteria. The record is from RNAcentral.
ACAUGCAAGUCGAACGCAGUAGCAAUACUGAGUGGCAGACGGGUGAGUAACAUGUGGGAAUCUGCCUUGUGGUUCAGGACAACAUUGGGAAACCGAUGCUAAUACUGGAUAAGCCCUUACGGGGAAAGUUUUAAUGCCAUAAGAUGAGCCCGCAUUUGAUUAGUUAGUUGGUGAGGUAAUGGCUCACCAAGACAAUGAUCAAUAGCUGAUCUGAGAGGAUGAUCAGCCACACUGGGACUGAGACACGGCCCAGACUCCUACGGGAGGCAGCAGUGGGGAAUCUUGCACAAUGGAGGAAACUCUGAUGCAGCGAUGCCGCGUGAGUGAAGAAGGCCUUUGGGUUGUAAAGCUCUUUUGUAGGGGAAGAUAAUGACUGUACCCUAAGAAUAAGGUCCGGCUAACUUCGUGCCAGCAGCCGCGGUAAUACGAAGGGACCUAGCGUAGUUCGGAAUUACUGGGCGUAAAGCGCGCGUAGGCCGUUGAGUUAGUUAAUUGUGAAAUCCCAAAGCUUAACUUUGGAACUGCAAUUAAAACUGCUCGACUAGAGUUUGAUAGAGGAAAGCGGAAUACAUAGUGUAGAGGUGAAAUUCGUAGAUAUUAUGUAGAACACCAGUUGCGAAGGCGGCUUUCUGGAUCAACACUGACGCUGAGGCGCGAAAGUAUGGGUAGCAAAGAGGAUUAGAUACCCUCGUAGUCCAUACCAUAAACGAUGAUUGCUAGAUGUUGGAAAUUUAUUUUCAGUAUCGCAGCUAACGCA